UGUUGGACUACAUCUCAGUUGGUUAGAGCAUGGUGCUGAUAACGCCAAGGUUGCAGGUUCGAUCCCAGUUUGGGACAG
Molecule: non-coding RNA, 78 nt
Organism: Podarcis lilfordi (Lilford's wall lizard)
Lineage: Eukaryota; Metazoa; Chordata; Lepidosauria; Squamata; Lacertidae
Source: the annotation of a GenBank genome assembly